GACGAACGCUGGCGGCGUGCUUAACACAUGCAAGUCGAACGAUGAAGAAGAGAAACGCGAACUUCGGUUCAAAUUUCACUUCGGAUUAGUGGCAGACGGGUGAGUAACGCGUGAGCAACCUACCUCUUACAAAGGGAUAGCCUCGGGAAACCGUGAUUAAUACCAUAUGACACAUUCAUAAGGCAUCUUAAGAAUGUUAAAGCUACGGCGGUAAGAGAUGGGCUCGCGUCCCAUUAGCUAGUUGGUGAGGUAACGGCCCACCAAGGCGACGAUGGGUAACCGGCCUGAGAGGGUGAACGGUCACAUUGGAACUGAGACACGGUCCAAACUCCUACGGGAGGCAGCAGUGGGGAAUAUUGCACAAUGGAGGGAACUCUGAUGCAGCGACGCCGCGUGAGCGAUGAAGGAAUUCGUUUCGUAAAGCUCUGUUCUAUGGGAAGAAAAGGACUGUACCAUAGGAGAAAGCCCCGGCUAACUACGUG
RNAcentral lists this ribosomal RNA (482 nucleotides) under uncultured bacterium. RNAcentral describes it as "partial 16S ribosomal RNA". It matches the Rfam family "Bacterial small subunit ribosomal RNA", at positions 28 to 507 of the family's 1533-position model. The record is from RNAcentral.